GGGGCUCCUCCAGCUCUUCACCUGAGCAGGUGAGAGACGCCAGGCUCGGGGCAAAGCCUGAACUCCAGAGAAUAAACAACAGACUCUGACCUCCCCACAGCAUUCCUCCCUCACCUCCUAACCCCACAAGGGAACGAACGACCUGUGGUAAGGAACUGGCAAAAGGCCCCACGGUCGGGCAUGGUCAUCUGUAUCUGUAAUUCCAGCACUGAGGCGGUGAAGGCAAGAGGGUCAGAAACCCAAGGCCGCCUUCCUCAAGAAGAAUGCCUGGGAAGAAGGAAAUUGCCGCUUCUGUAUUUGCUGCAGAAAACUGCAAUGUGUGAUACCAUCAAGGAAGCUGGAGUCCCACGUCAAAGGAGACACACUCAUUGGUGAGUCAAGAGAUCUGAACACCAGCAAGGAAAGUUACUAUGACUGGCUGGAAGGCAUCAGACACACCAUUUAUCCCCAAUUUUCUAAAUAAACACAGCUCUAUUCACUUUUCCAAGAAGGCCAUUGACUCUAAAAACAAAACAAAACAAAAACAUUCAACAGUGAAGGACUAUGAUUUUUCUCUUGAAGAGGUCUAUCACGGCUAACUGCUAAAGACAGUUAUCUUAGCUAAGGUGAAUAUGUCACAGGAAAUGCCAUUUAAAUAGACGCUUUUUGUAUGUGCUUGAGUAAGACAUGGGAAUAUUUUUACUGGAAUUUCUAGUUCUCUUUUCUUAGAAAAAUAAAUAAAUAAAACGUU
Molecule: long non-coding RNA, 730 nt
Filed under: Mus pahari (shrew mouse)
Lineage: Eukaryota; Metazoa; Chordata; Mammalia; Rodentia; Muridae
Description: predicted gene 12249 (MGP_PahariEiJ_G0004605.1)
Source: RNAcentral